This 492-nucleotide ribosomal RNA is filed under the name uncultured bacterium. Its description in RNAcentral is "partial 16S ribosomal RNA". It matches the Rfam family "Bacterial small subunit ribosomal RNA", at positions 29 to 507 of the family's 1533-position model. The record is from RNAcentral.
AGUGAACGCUGGCGGUAGGCCUAACACAUGCAAGUCGAACGGCAGCACAGUAAGAGCUUGCUCUUACGGGUGGCGAGUGGCGGACGGGUGAGGAAUACAUCGGAAUCUACUUUUUCGUGGGGGAUAACGUAGGGAAACUUACGCUAAUACCGCAUACGACCUACGGGUGAAAGCAGGGGAUCUUCUGACCUUGCGCGAUUGAAUGAGCCGAUGUCGGAUUAGCUAGUUGGCGGGGUAAAGGCCCACCAAGGCGACGAUCCGUAGCUGGUCUGAGAGGAUGAUCAGCCACACUGAGACUGAGACACGGUCCAGACUCCUACGGGAGGCAGCAGUGGGGAAUAUUGGACAAUGGGCGCAAGCCUGAGCCAGCCAUACCGCGUGGGUGAAGAAGGCCUUCGGGUUGUAAAGCCGUUUUGUUGGGAAAGAAAAGCAGCAGGUUAAUACCCCGCUGUUCUGACGGUACCCAAAGAAUAAGCACCGGCUAACUUCGUG